CGGCUAAUUUUUUGUAUUUUUAGUGGAGACGGGGUUUCACCGUGGUCUCGAUCUCCUGACCUCGUGAUCCGCCCGCCUCGGCCUCCCAAAGUGCUAGGAUUACAAGCGUGAGCCACUGCGCCCGGCUAAGGCUGACUUUAUUGAUCUAGUAAAGCCCCUUAGGAAAAACUGGCUUGGUAGUCUGCAUACAUGGUUCCCUUACAUGGUUCCCCUAUAUGGUUGCCUUACAGGUAAGUAAGUAAUGCCACUUUUUGACAGGCCCAGGAAACUCAGGGUAUUUUGGGGACUUCAAGAAGAGUGGAAUCCGGCCAGGUGCACACACCUGUAAUCCUAGCACUUUGGGAGACCGAGGGCGGCAGAUCACCUGAGGUCAGGAGUUCGAGACCAGCCUGGCAAAUAUGGUGAAACCCCGUCUCUACUAAAAAUACAAAAAUUAGCCAGGCACGGUGGCAGGCGCCUGUAAUCCCAGCUACUGGGGAGGCUGAGGCAGGAGAAUUGCUCGAACCCGAGAGGCGGAGGUUGCAGUGAGCCGAGAUUGUGCCAUCGUGCCAUUGCACUUCAGCCUGGGCAACAAGAGCGAGACUCCGUCUCAAAAAAAAAAGAGAGGAAUUCACAAAAAUCUAUAGGUAUUAUAGGCAAAGUAUGAUGAGAAAUCAUUGGUUUGGCUUCCUAGACUUGAGUAGGGUUUUAAAAGUCCAAUUUGAGAUUCCUUAUGAAAAAUUCCAGCAAAGCAAACUUAAAUGAGCCUAUAUGGCAAUCACUGUUUUGCUGCACUUAUGCAAAUAAUCAGGUUAAGUUUAAUGAGAUUGGGCCUAUUUUGCAAACAAAUUCAUCUUAUUUUGAUCAUCUUUGGUAGAAACAGAGGUGACUGUAGGUUUAAAAAUUACAUUUCAGAAGAAAACUAAAGUGUAUCUAUUAUUGAAUUCUAGUCCUGUUCAUGUUUUUGAGGUUUUGUUUUGUUUUGUUGUUGUUGUUGUUUGAGACGGAGUUGUUUGAUCUGUCGCCCAGGCUGGAGUGCAGUGGCACGAUCUCGGCUCACUGCAAGCUCCACCUCCUGGGUUCACGCCAUUCUUCUGCCUCAGCCUCCCGAGUAGCUGGGACUACAGGCGCCCGCCACCAUGCUUGGCUAAUUUUUUGUGUUUUUUAGUAGAGACAGGGUUUCACCGUGUUAGCCAGGAUGGUCUUGAUCUCCUGACCUCGUGAUCCAGCCACCUCAGCCUCCCAAAGUGCUGGGAUUAUAGGUGUGAGCUACCGCGCCUGGCCCUGAGGUUUUGUUAUCUACCUAUAAUCUGGACUUGAUCUUAAAUUAUUCUAGUUUCCUCCAAUAUCUGGUUAUCACUCUCCAAACAAUUUCCAAUUUUUCUCCCACCUUGUGACUGAGAAUAACUAAAAAUUAAAACUGCCCUUUUCCCAAAGCCGUGCAAGCUAAAGCUGGACAACUUCAUAUAGACUUUAGAGAAAUCACAACAGCCAUAUAUGAACAAUUUUUGUACCUGUUGCUCUAUGUGCUACUCAGAAAGUUCCCCAAACACCUCAUGCAAACUGCAAACCAGGAAAAUCUGUCAGCUUGUCCUUCACUGCCUGUCCCCAUUCUACCAUCUCAAGAUGCUUUGAGCUCAAAUCUAGAAAUUUUUUUGACUGGCUGUCUUCCAGACUCAAAAACUGAGUUUAUGGGUUGCUCUAAUUGUUAAUGUUUGUUUUUCUAUUGUUUGUCUGGAAAUGCCUCUUGUUAAAUGCCUGAUUGAUUACACUACAUAGAGGCCUAACUUUGGCAGAAGCCCGACUGCAAUACCAGCUAACAACUGGAAUAAGAUACAACUGUUAACUAUUUAACUGGACUGAGUUAUUCCUGGAACUGAGAGAUGGUUCAAUGGGUUAUGCAAUAAUCUUCCAACUCAGUUUUUGUGAAGCCUCUUGGGAAAGUUUCAGACAGGAGAAUGAUGGGGUUCAGGAUACUGUACUCCAAAAUAUGGCAACUUGGCAUGUGAAAAAACAGCAGAGGCAGGAGAACCACUCUCACCUUUCCCUCUCCCUUCUUUCCUGAAGCAGGCCAUAAAACCUGGGAAGGUUGGCCAGGCGCAGUGGCUCAUGCCUGUAAUCCCAGCACUUUGGGAGGCUGAGGCUGGUGGAUCACCUGAGGUCAGGAGUUCAAGACCAGCUUGGACAACAUGGUGAAACCCCGUCUCUACUAAAAAUACAAAAAAAAAAUUAGCCGGGCAUGGAGGCGGGCACCUGUAAUCCCAGCUACUUGGGAGGCUGAGGCAGGAGAAUUACUUGAACCCAGGAGGCAGAGGUUGCAGUGAGCCGAGAUUGCACCACUGCACUCCACCCUAGGCGACAGAGUGCAACUCCAUCUCAAAAAAAAGAAAAGAAAAGAAACUGGGAAGGUCACUCUCUGACCUUCUCCCUCCUUUCUUUCCUGAAGUAAGUCAUGAAAUCCUCAUUCCAGAGAUAACCUCCCUAUACUGAAGAAAAGGGACUUCCUUGUUCUUGAAGACAGAAGAAUCUGAACAGGACUUGCUAAGUCCCCCACCCGCAGUUUAUUACCAUUAGAUCACACCCCUUUUGUCCUAUCACACUUCUGCAUGAGUGACCACUUCUACUCUUCCUCAAACCUAAGCCUAAAUAAAUACACAAGUUUUCCUGUUUUGGGGGGUCUUCAUUUCCUUAUGAAGGCUCCUGUGUCAUGUAAAUCUUAUACUAAAUACAUUUGCAUACCUUUCUCUUCUUAAUCUGUUUUUUAUUAUUGGAAUCUUGGCCAUGAACCUAGAAGUGGAUGAGAAAAGAAAUCUUUUCUCUCCAACACAACACUGACUUUUUUUUUCUUUGUUUCUCCAAGGAGUCAUUUCACAACUAUUUGAGGGCCUGGUUCAGUGCAGGAAAACAAACUACUCUAGGUAUUUUGAACUGAGGAGAACUUAGUGUAGAGAAUUAGUGCUUACACAAUCAUUGAAAAGAGUUGUGGAAUGGACUUCCUAAAACUGCAACAGGAGGGCGAAUAUGUUUGGCAUGAUUAGUAAGAUGGGGAAUCAAAAGGCCACUACUGUAACUGUUGAGUUAAAGAACACAUUGUCAGAGAUCUGCCAUCCAGGAAUUAGAAAGCAGAGAUCAGGAAGCUGAAUGGCUGUUGCAGGAAAACCCCAUGUCUCCAGGAUCCUGCUUGCCAACAGAAAGCCCAAAAUAGCAGAAAGAAGUCAUCUUCCUCCUUUCUGUCUUCCAGUCAUACAAGUGUGCCUAAUUGUAAGGGAGUCAUGGAAAUGUAUUCUAGCUCCCCAGUCCCUGUAACACAUUAGAAGAAAAUAAGAAUAGAGGAUGCAUGCCAAUUGACCAUAUUCAAUACAAACCCGCCCUUUAGGAGUCCACAGACUAGAGAGAUAACACCACAAUAAAUGCAGGUUGAAAGGAUGAGCCAGGAAGUAUCUCUUUCAGACCAAGUUUAAGUGGCAUGAGUCUGGGGCCUUUUUUUUUUUUUUUUUUUUUGAGAUGGAGUUUUGCUCUCGUUGCCCAGGCUGGAGUGCAAUGGCACGAUCUCAGCUCACUGCAACCUCUGCCUCCCGGGUUCAAGCAAUUCUCUUGCCUCAGCCUCUUGAGUAGCUGGGAUUACAGGCAUGCGCCACCACACCAGCCAAUUUUGUAUUUUUAGUAGAGACGGGGUUUCUCCAUGUUGGUCAGCCUCAUCUCGAACCUCCAACCUCAGGUGAUCUGCCGGCCUCGGCCUCCCAAAGUGCUGGGAUUACAGGCAUGAGCCACCGCAUCCGUCCCGUAGUAGUCUUAAAAUGAUUCCAGACCUAAUUUGAAGCCAUGGAGGUCAGACUCAGAAUCAUUAAAGGGACAAAGCUGAAGUCAGUGCACAGGGAAGAGAGGGGAACAGAAGACACCAUGACCCGAUGUCAAAAGCUUGGAGCUCUCACUUCCUGCAAGUGGCUGUACAGAAGGCCGCGAGUGCAGCCCCAAGUAAAUAGGGCCCACCUUCAGUGGCAGCGUCUCUCUCACACUGGCUGGUCAUGGUUUAUGUGGCCCUUUGUGGCUUACUUGUCACCUGCCUCAAGACCAUCAUCAUUCAGAAAUGAGCCUGCAUGAUCAUCACUGGGAGAAGAGAAAUACAGAGGGAAAAGAUUCAAAGUGGUCCCAUCUUCCAAGCAGGAGGGCCAGGGACCCACGAGUAUUUUGCUGUAGAAGGCCAAGGAUCAGUUGCCUUCCAGCUGCCUGUAUUUGCUUCCUCCUGCAAUUCCAGAUGUUUUGGCACCUCUCUUCUGUGACUCCAGGAAUCAGGAGCCAGGUCCUGGUGGUUCUAAGAUAAGGGAAUAGUGGCAGCUUCUAAGAUUGCAAAUAAAUCCCAAGUCCAUUAAAGGGCACCACUUUAUAUCUGUUGAGUGAGUAUGAGGUGGUCUGGUAUCUCCUCGGGGCUUAAAUUGAAGGCAGCCUAUCCUGCUGGUUAAAAGCUUGGCUUCAGAGUCCUGUCCUGGCUCAGUUGCUUCCCAGUUGUGUGAUGUUGGGCAAAUUACUUACUCUCAAAAUGGAAAUAGUAGGACAUUUUUCUCUCAAGAUGGUUGUGAGGAUUAAUUAAUUAGGUGUAACUAUAUAUAAAGUGCUUAGCCCAGUGCCUGGCAUAUAGUAAGCUUUCUAUAAAUGGUAGCUGAUAGGAUUUUUGUUAUUAUUAUCAAUACCAUAUGUUCUUGGCAACAAACAUCUCCCAUCUUAAUUACCAGAAAACAUCUGGAAUAGAAGGUUCCUCACACAAAGCUUGGUCUAGAACUAUGAGCUCUUAGUCACAUUCUGGAAAAGUGCAGAGCCAGACCAGGCCAGGAUGCCCGUCGAGCCUGUUUCCUCCAGCUGAGAAGUUUCGGUCUGCUUCAAUCCUAGUGCUGUCCCUGUGUAGUUCUACUGGGCAUCUUUUUUUUUUUUGAGACGGAGUCUCAUUGUGUCACCCAGGCUGGAGUGCAGUGGCAUGAUGUUGGCUCACUGCAACCUCCACCUCCUGGGUUCAAGUGAUUCGUGUGCCUCAGCCUCCCAAGUAGCUGGGACAACAGGUGCGUGCCACCAUGCCUGGCUAAUUUUUGUAUUUUUAGUAGAGGCGGUUUUGCCAUGUUGACCAGGCUGGUCUUGAACUCCUGACCUCAAGUGAUCCACCUGCCUCAGCCUCCCAAAGUGCUGGGAUUACAUGCUUGAGCCACCGCACCUGGCCUCUGCUGGGCAUCUUAACAUGCCCCAGGAGAGUUACAUGGUGUCACCCUGGCAGGUGAGAAAGGAAGAUACUGGUUAUUCAGAGGCCCAAGAUCAGAAGGAUUUGGAACCAUCUGUUCUGACAUUUUCUGUCUGUUUUCCUUCUUCUCUAAUGUCCUUUCCGCAAACCAUCCAACUUCAUUUUUAAAAAUUAAUUAUUAUUAUUAUUUUUUGAGAUGGAGUUUCGCUCUUAUUGCCCAGGCUGGAGUGCAAUGGUGUGAUCUCGGCUCACUGCAACCUAGGCCUCCCAGGUUCAAGUGAUUCUCCUGCCUCAGCCUCCCUAGUAGCUGGGAUUACAGGUAUGUGCCACCAUGCCCAGCUAAUUUUGUAUUUUUAGUAGAGACGGGGUUUCUCCAUGUUGGCCAGGCUGGUCUCAAACUCCUGACCUCACGUGAUCCACCCGCCUCAGCCUCCCAAAGUACUGGGAUUACAGGCGGGAGCCACCGUGCCCAGCCAUUUAAGUUUUAUUGAACAUCAAUUCUUUGCCAGGCAUUGUGCUAGCCCUGGGGGUAUAGUGAAGAACAGAGAGAAAGGCAACUCCUAACCAACUGGAGUUCUCUUUCUAUUGGGGCCACAAACCAUAUAAAUGUGAUCACAUAAAUAAUCAUUUAAUUACAGGUUUAAUCAGUGCACGGAAGGAAAAUGACAGAGAGUAAUGAGCAUGGAUAAUAGGGGAACUUACCAUCCCUCAAUAGUAAGGGGUUGAGGGUGAGCAGGGGAGUUUGGGUCAGACCUGAAGAAUGAGUAAGAGUCAGCUAGUCAAGGAGAAAGAAGUUUCUGGGUAGAAGUAGGCUCCUGCCAAAAUGUUGGAUGAAAACUUUAUGGUGUGUUGCCUUGACUGGAGGUCUUAAUUCUUAGCUGAGUACUCCCAAAAUGAUAAAUAUUUAAUGGUGGAAUCUUUGAGAGGCUUAUGACCAGCAGAUAGGAUCAGGAGGCUUUCUUAUUAGCCUUCAAACCAAUCCAUAUGGCUAGGAGGCCUGGCUCUGGGUAUGUAGUGUGUGUGUGUGAGCAUGGGCGUGUAGGAGUGUGACUGCAUGUUUGUGACUGUGAAUGUCAGUGCAAGUGUAUAUGGAUAGAUGCAGAGCUAUAACAGAUAAUUUUGGCAUCUGGGCCAAGCAACAGAAAUAUAUCUUGAAAGUCAGGCAUACAUCAGUUCAGGAGGGAGUUGGAGGGGAGCAGAGAGGAAAGACUGCUCUUCCACAUGCACACAGGAGCCUCCUACAAAUGGGUUCCCUGUUCAUGACCUUAGACAUUCCAGGUCAGCCAUCUCUGCCAAGAGUCAGGGGCAAGCUAGCCAGCACUUCUAGAGAAGGACUGGUGCUGAAGGUGGGGGGAGGAGAAGGCUUUAAAAUGUGCACAAUCUUUGAGAAAAUAAUUCUUUAAAAUGUUGGCACCCUCCACAUUUUUGUUCCUGGGCCCCUGGUGAGUGUGGCUUUAAGACUCUGAAUGUACAUAUGCAUAUAUGUGUGUAUGUGUGUGUUGACUGUGCUUAUGUGUGUAUGAAUAGGUGUUGGGGACUACCAUGUAAAUUGUGAUAACUAAGAGCCCCUGUGAGUUUGGAGCCAGCAGAUGUGUUCCUGAACUCCUCCCCUCCCGCUUUAUGUGCUCUGACACUCCCACUAUGCUUAUCUCUGUAGCUCUUAUGAGAAGCAGAGGCUGGGAUUAUCUGCCUGCCAGGGCUGAGUCCCUUCAUAUUAACAACAGACUGAAGAUGUACUGACUGCAACAAGACAAAUAGAAAUAAUAUGGUCACAUUCACUUCCAUUUCAUAAAGCAAGUGGAACCCGGGCUCACUGCAGUGAAUGAGCUUCAAUAAUUCAUCCCAGCUGCUGAUGUGAUAUUGACAUAAAGCUAAUUUAACAAUGGGGGAGCCAGAGGAAGUAGGGAGCAGUUAGCCUUCACUUACAGCAUGGUCACUCUGCUAGCACUCUGGUGCUAUUCUGGAAAGCAGAACCCCAGAGUAGAAAAAGACCUGGGGAGGUCACUUGCCCCCUUGCCUCCUUGCAGCCAGUUGACUUUAUGAAGUUGUUAGGAUGGUAUUUUCUUCUUGAUGAUACUCUUGACCUUUUGCGUCAGGAAUAGAGACUUCCCACCCCCGUCUUCAGAUCUGAACUUCUCAACAAAGAGAUGUUUCUCAGGUCAGUCAGACUCGGGUCAGUCUCUCCAGGGAAUCAAAACCACUGUCACUUUCUAUGGGGUAUGACAGUUGGAUAAACAAGGUUGAGGGUUUUUGUUUGUUUUGAGACAAGGUCUCCCUGUGUCACCCAGGCUGGAGUGCAGUGGCAUGAUCUCGUGUGACUGCAGCCUCCACCUCCCUGGCUCAGGUGAUCCUGCCACCUCAGCCUCCAGAGUAGCUGGGACUACAGGCCUGUGCCAUCACACCCCGCUAAUUGUUUCUAUUUUGUUUUGUUUUUCUAAAGGAGUUUCACCACAGUGCCCAGGCUGUCUCAGACUCCUGAGUUCAACCGAUCGCCUGCCUUGGCCUCCCAAAAUGCUGGGAUUACAGGCAUAAACCACCAUGCACAGCAAUGUUGAGGUUUUUGCUAGAGAAAAAGGGAACCUAUGGUUCAUAUCUUAAAUGAUAUUCAACAACCCAUUUGAUUUUUUUCUUUCUCAAAAAUAAAAGUCACUCAUUCAACAUCCAAAACAUGUUUGAGUUCCUAUCUUUCUUCAUUUAUUCAACAAAUACUUAGGCCAGGCACAGUGGCUCACACCUGUAAUCCCAGCACUUUGGAAGGCGGAGGUGGGCGGAUCACCUGAGGUCAGGAGUUCAAGACCAGCCUGGCCAACAUGGCAAAACCCCAUCUCAACUAAAAAAUACAAAAAUUAGCUGGGCAUGGUGGCAGGUGCCUAUAAUCUCAGCUGCUCAGGAGGCUGAAGCAAGGAGAAACGCUUGAACCCAGGAGGCAGAAGUUGCAGUAAGCCAAGAUGGUGCCACUGCACUCCAGCCUGAAUGACAAAGCGAGACUCCAUCUCAAAAAAAAAAAAACAAAACCAAAUGCUUAGUAAGCAUCUCCUGGUACUAGGUGAACCAGACAGCUUGGAUCCUUGCCUUCUGAAGUUUACAGUACAGCAGGAAAGAUAGGCAUUAAAUAAAUAAAUGCAUGAAUGAAUAUAUAAUUGCAAAUUGUUGCUAAGGCUGUUUAUUUAUAUUUAUUCAUUAAUUUAGACUUCAAUGCAAUGAGAGAGAAUAACAUUAAGGAAUAGCUUUGGAAUGGGAAGACCUCUCUGAACCCUGAAGGAUGAGAAGUCUGGAAAAGAGAGUGGGAAGAGUAGACCAGAAGGAGGAAAAGCCACAUAUUUAAUGUUUUGCUUCUUGCUGCAAGCAGAUUCCUUGGCUUUACCUUCAGAGCUUUUGACUCAAUGCAGAAAUGGAAAAGCCAAUCCUCAAAUUCAUAUGGAAUUGCAGGGGACCCCAAACAGCCAAAGCAAUCUUGAAAAAGAAGAACAAAGCUGGAAGACUUACACUUCCUGAUUUCAAAACGUAUUACAAAGCUACAGUAAUCAAAAUAGUGUGAUAGUAGCAUAAAGGAUAGAGAUAUAUAUCAAGGGAAUAGAAUUGAGAGUCCAAAAAUAUACUAAUACAGCUAUGGGGUCAAUUGAUUUUUGACAAGGGUGCCAAGAGCAUUCAAUGGGCAAAGAAUAGUGUCUUCAACAAAUAGUGCUGGGACAACUGGAUAUCCACAUAAAAAAAAGGAAGAAGAAGGAGGAGAAGAAGAAGGAAGAGGAGGAGGAAGAGGAGAAAGAA
This is a long non-coding RNA of Symphalangus syndactylus (siamang), 8971 nucleotides long. RefSeq lists it as uncharacterized. NCBI's taxonomy places the organism in Eukaryota, Metazoa, Chordata, Mammalia, Primates, Hylobatidae. The record is from RefSeq and is a predicted model, not a curated record.